RNAcentral lists this ribosomal RNA (305 nucleotides) under uncultured bacterium. Its description in RNAcentral is "bacterial SSU rRNA". It matches the Rfam family "Bacterial small subunit ribosomal RNA", at positions 333 to 635 of the family's 1533-position model. The record is from RNAcentral.
CCUCCCCUACGGGAGGCAGCAGUGAGGAAUAUUGGUCAAUGGGCUUACGCCUGAACCAGCCAAGUCGCGUGAGGGAAGACUGCCCUAUGGGUUGUAAACCUCUUUUGUCAGGGAGCAACGCCGGCUACGUGUAGCCGGACUGAGAGUACCUGAAGAAUAAGCAUCGGCUAACUCCGUGCCAGCAGCCGCGGUAAUACGGAGGAUGCGAGCGUUAUCCGGAUUUAUUGGGUUUAAAGGGUGCGUAGGCGGCAUUAUAAGUUAGUGGUAAAAUAUUGGGGCUUCACCUCACUACGCCAUUAAUACUG